CUCUCCAUUCUAAAUUUCUUUAAUAAUUCUCUUGUGUACUUACUUGGGGUGUGGAGAUCCUUUCCUUCAUUUGUUUAAUCUGAAAUCCGAGGAAGAAAUUGAGUUCUCCCAUCAUGCUCAGCUCGAACUUCCUCUUCAUGAGCUUAGCAAACUCUUAGCAUGGAUCUUCAUUAGUAGACCCAAAUAUAAUGUCAUCAACAUAUAUUUGUAUAGCAAGAAUUUUUUUGUUCUUUUUUUUUAUAAAAAGAGUAGUAUCAACCUUUCCUCUUGAAAAUCUAU
This 279-nucleotide long non-coding RNA is filed under the name Elaeis guineensis (African oil palm). RNAcentral describes it as "long non-coding RNA (EGUI_LNC041245)". The record is from RNAcentral. Lineage: Eukaryota; Viridiplantae; Streptophyta; Magnoliopsida; Arecales; Arecaceae.